AUGGCGGCACCGGCGCCGAGGAGCGUGGGCGUGGCGGAGCGGGCGCUGCGCGGGGUGGCGGACCUGAUCAAGCUACUGCCGAGCGGCACGGUCUUCAUGUUCCAGUUCCUCAGCCCGCUCGUCACCAACAACGGCCACUGCGCCGCCUACAACAAGGUGCUCUCCGGGGCGCUCCUCGCGCUCUGCGGCGCCUUCUGCGCCUUCUCCUCCUUCACCGACAGCUACGUCGGCUCCGACGGCAGGGUCUACUACGGCGUCGUCACGCGCCGCGGGAUGCGCACCUUCUCCGCCGACCCGGACGCCGGCGCCACCAGGGACCUGUCCGGGUACCGCCUCCGCGCCGGCGACUUCGUGCACGCCGCGCUCUCGCUCAUCGUGUUCGCCACCCUCGCGCUGCUGGACAGGGACACCGUGUCCUGCCUCUACCCGGAGUUGGAGGCCGGCGAGAGGACCAUGAUGGCCGUGCUGCCGCCGGUCGUCGGCGGCGUCGCCAGCUACGCCUUCAUGAUGUUCCCCAACAACCGCCACGGCAUCGGCUACCAGCCCACGCGCGCGACCGAGGACUUCGAGCACAAGCACUAG
This 582-nucleotide ribosomal RNA is filed under the name Triticum aestivum (bread wheat). RNAcentral describes it as "partial small subunit ribosomal RNA". Lineage: Eukaryota; Viridiplantae; Streptophyta; Magnoliopsida; Poales; Poaceae. The record is from RNAcentral.